Molecule: transfer RNA, 62 nt
Filed under: Diaphorina citri (Asian citrus psyllid)
Lineage: Eukaryota; Metazoa; Arthropoda; Insecta; Hemiptera; Psyllidae
Description: tRNA-Leu
Source: RNAcentral
CUCUAAUGUGACAGAUUUAUGUGUUAAAUUUAAGAUUUAAAAAAGAAUAAUUUCCUUUAGAA